This 200-nucleotide unclassified non-coding RNA is filed under the name Hevea brasiliensis (rubber tree). Lineage: Eukaryota; Viridiplantae; Streptophyta; Magnoliopsida; Malpighiales; Euphorbiaceae. The record is from RNAcentral.
UUAUCGGCCGCGCGUUCGGCAACCGCGAUCACACCACGAUUCUGAAAUCCAUCCGCGCCGUCGAAAAAAUGAUGGCGCUGGAUCACCCUAUCUCGAAAGACAUUAAAGCACUCACCAAAAAACUAGGGGNNNNNNGCGGGAAUUCGAAAGAGCAACUGCGCUCCAUAAUUGAGCGCGUGGAGAACCGGGAGGCCGCAAAG